AAUUCCCUGCUUUGUGCGUGAUGGUCGGAGUGUCGUCUGGGCCGAUGUCUUUCAACACAAAGUGAGCUGCGAUCCCGCGUGGUGUGCAUGCCUCCGUGGUGAGGAAGCCUGAAGCGCGGUUUCUAUAGCGGCUCCACCUGCUAUGCAGGUCCGCUCGACCUUCCCACACGGCAAAGCGGGGAUUUG
This 186-nucleotide non-coding RNA is filed under the name Acidobacteriota bacterium. Its description in RNAcentral is "Acidobacteria bacterium (wastewater metagenome) 6S RNA". It matches the Rfam family "6S / SsrS RNA". Rfam says of the family: E. coli 6S RNA was the first non coding RNA to be sequenced, but its function was unknown until recently. Lineage: Bacteria; Pseudomonadati; Acidobacteriota. The record is from RNAcentral.